CCUACAGGUGGCAGCAGUGAGGAAUAUUGGUCAAUGGGCGGGAGCCUGAACCAGCCAAGUCGCGUGAGGGAAGACGGUCCUACGGAUUGUAAACCUCUUUUGCCGGGGAGCAACGGGGUCCUUGCGUGGGCUCGAUGAGUGUACCCGGAGAAAAAGCAUCGGCUAACUCCGUGCCAGCAGCCGCGGUAAUACGGAGGAAGCGAGCGUUAUCGGGUUUUAUUGGGUUUAAAGGGUGCGGAGGCGGGCUGUUAAGUCAGCGGUAAAUUGUCGGGGCUCAACCCCGGCCUGCCGUUGAAACGGGCGGCCUCGAGUGUGCGAGAAGUAUGCGGAAUGCGUGGUGUAGCGGUGAAAUGCAUAGAGAUCACGCAGAACUCCGAUGGCGAAGGCAGCAUACCGGCGCCCGACUGACGCUGAGGCACGAAAGCGUGGGGAUCGAACAGGAUUAGAUACCCGGGUAGUC
Molecule: ribosomal RNA, 460 nt
Filed under: uncultured bacterium
Lineage: Bacteria
Description: partial 16S ribosomal RNA
Rfam family: Bacterial small subunit ribosomal RNA
Source: RNAcentral